RNAcentral lists this transfer RNA (40 nucleotides) under Podargus ocellatus marmoratus. Its description in RNAcentral is "partial tRNA-Ile". The record is from RNAcentral. Lineage: Eukaryota; Metazoa; Chordata; Aves; Caprimulgiformes; Podargidae.
GGAAAUGUGCCUGAACACAAAGGAUCACCAUGAUAAAGUG